CUGAGUGAGGGUUCCCUCCCAUGGGCCCAACCUCCCACCCGUGUUUACUUAUACUUUGUUGCUUCGGCGAGCCCACCAAGGGGGUUUAUCACCCCUGGUCGCUUGGGACGGAGGCAGCUCCUACCCGGGCCUGUUGCUCGCCGGAGGUCUUAACUACGAACCCUGAUCUCGAAUGGAAUGGUGUCUGAGUUGAUGAUGUACAAUCGUUA
RNAcentral lists this unclassified non-coding RNA (209 nucleotides) under uncultured Trichocomaceae. RNAcentral's name for it is "sequence contains ITS1". Lineage: Eukaryota; Fungi; Ascomycota; Eurotiomycetes; Eurotiales; Trichocomaceae. The record is from RNAcentral.